This 438-nucleotide ribosomal RNA is filed under the name uncultured bacterium. RNAcentral's name for it is "bacterial SSU rRNA". It matches the Rfam family "Bacterial small subunit ribosomal RNA", at positions 954 to 1392 of the family's 1533-position model. The record is from RNAcentral.
GCUAAACGCGAAGAACCUUACCUAGACUUGACAUGUAGUGGACCGCACCAGAGAUGGUGCUUUCCUUCGGGACCAUUACACAGGUGCUGCAUGGCUGUCGUCAGCUCGUGCCGUGAGGUGUUGGGUUAAGUCCCGCAACGAGCGCAACCCUUGUCGUUAGUUGCCAACAGUUAGGCUGGGAACUCUAACGAGACUGCCUGGGUUAACCAGGAGGAAGGUGAGGAUGACGUCAAGUCAGCAUGGCCCUUAUGUCUAGGGCUACACACGUGCUACAAUGGUCGGUACAGAAGGUAGCGAACCCGAAAGGUCAAGCAAAUCCUAGAAAGCCGAUCCCAGUUCGGAUUGUAGUCUGCAACUCGACUACAUGAAGUUGGAAUUGCUAGUAAUGGCGAGUCAGCAAUAUCGCCGUGAAUACGUUCCCGGGUCUUGUACACACCG